This 497-nucleotide ribosomal RNA is filed under the name uncultured bacterium. RNAcentral describes it as "partial 16S ribosomal RNA". It matches the Rfam family "Bacterial small subunit ribosomal RNA", at positions 28 to 507 of the family's 1533-position model. The record is from RNAcentral.
GAUGAACGCUGGCGGCGUGCCUAAUACAUGCAAGUCGAGCGAACGGACGAGAAGCUUGCUUCUCUGAUGUUAGCGGCGGACGGGUGAGUAACACGUGGAUAACCUACCUAUAAGACUGGGAUAACUUCGGGAAACCGUAGCUAAUACCGGAUAAUAUUUUGAACCGCAUGGUUCAAAAGUGAAAGACGGUCUUGCUGUCACUUAUAGAUGGAUCCGCGCUGCAUUAGCUAGUUGGUAAGGUAACGGCUUACCAAGGCAACGAUGCAUAGCCGACCUGAGAGGGUGAUCGGCCACACUGGAACUGAGACACGGUCCAGACUCCUACGGGAGGCAGCAGUAGGGAAUCUUACGCAAUGGGCGAAAGCCUGACGGAGCAACACCGCGUGAGUGAUGAAGGUCUUCGGAUCGUAAAACUCUGUUAUUAGGGAAGAACAUAUGUGUAAGUAACUGUGCACAUCUUGACGGUACCUAAUCAGAAAGCCACGGCUAACUACGUG